Molecule: ribosomal RNA, 483 nt
Filed under: uncultured bacterium
Lineage: Bacteria
Description: partial 16S ribosomal RNA
Rfam family: Bacterial small subunit ribosomal RNA
Source: RNAcentral
GACGAACGCUGGCGGCGUGCUUAACACAUGCAAGUCGAACGAUGAAGCUGGAGCUUGCUCUGGCGGAUUAGUGGCGAACGGGUGAGUAACACGUGAGAAAUCUGCCCUUGACUCUGGGAUAACUGCGGGAAACUGUAGCUAAUACCGGAUACUUUCCCUGGUGGGCAUCCACUGGGGAAGAAAGAAUUUCGGUCAAGGAUGAUCUCGCGGCCUAUCAGCUUGUUGGUGAGGUAAUGGCUCACCAAGGCGACGACGGGUAGCCGGCCUGAGAGGGAGACCGGCCACACUGGGACUGAGACACGGCCCAGACUCCUACGGAGGCAGCAGUGGGGAAUAUUGCACAAUGGGCGCAAGCCUGAUGCAGCAACGCCGCGUGAGGGAUGAAGGCCUUCGGGUUGUAAACCUCUUUUAGCAGGGAAGAAGCGAAAGUGACGGUACCUGCAGAAAAAGCACCGGCUAACUACGUGCCAGCAGCCGCGGUAA